GAAACGACUGCUAAUACCGCAUGACGCAUAGAGGUCGCAUGAUCUUUAUGCCAAAGAUUUAUCGCUUCAAGAUGGCCUCGCGUCUGAUUAGCUGGUUGGCGGGGUAACGGCCCACCAAGGCGACGAUCAGUAGCCGGACUGAGAGGUUGAACGGCCACAUUGGGACUGAGAUACGGCCCAGACUCCUACGGGAGGCAGCAGUGGGGAAUAUUGGGCAAUGGGCGCAAGCCUGACCCAGCAACGCCGCGCGAAGGAAGAAGGCUUUCGGGUUGUAAACUUCUUUUAAGAGGGAAGAGCAGAAGACGGUACCUCUAGAAUAAGCCACGGCUAACUACGUGCCAGCAGCCGCGGUAAUACGUAGGUGGCAAGCGUUGUCCGGAUUUACUGGGUGUAAAGGGCGUGCAGCCGGGUCUGCAAGUCAGAUGUGAAAUCCAUGGGCUCAACCCAUGAACUGCAUUUGAAACUGUGGAUCUUGAGUGUCGGAGGGGCAAUCGGGAUUCCUAGUGUAGCGGUGAAAUGCGUAGAUAUUAGGAGGAACACCAGUGGCGAAGGCGGAUUGCUGGACGAUAACUGACGGUGAGGCGCGAAAGUGUGGGGAGCAAACAGGAUUAGAUACCCUGGUAGUCCACACUGUAAACGAUGAAUGCUAGGUGUGCGGGGACUGACCCCCUGCGUGCC
This 678-nucleotide ribosomal RNA is filed under the name uncultured bacterium. RNAcentral describes it as "bacterial SSU rRNA". It matches the Rfam family "Bacterial small subunit ribosomal RNA", at positions 153 to 847 of the family's 1533-position model. The record is from RNAcentral.